ACACAGUUGUUGUCGCAACAGAAUGGCUAUUGACCAAGAAUACUAAGUAAUCUUUACAUUAAGUGGGGUCACUUAGAAAAUAUAACUUAUAUCACAUCGGCCAGCCAAUACCUAUGGAAAAUGGUACAACUUCAGCUAGUGAGAAUGGCAGUCUCUGUGAUGGACCAUUCAGACAGAUUUUGUUUCCUGAUUCCACAACCCACUAUUCUCAUUGGCAAAGAUCAACUUGUUUCUCCUAUUCCCUAAAAUAUCACAAACAAAAGGAAAAUAGUUUUUGGCUGGAUAGAUUUAUAUAUAUAUAUAUAUAUAUAAAUAUAUAUAUACAUCUUCAAUCCUGUGUAGUCAUGAUGUCACUAAAACUGAAAAUAUAUCGAUUAAUUUACAUAAUUAUUAAACGUUUCCAUUUUUAUUCCAAGAAUUUCAUAAAAUCCUAUUUAAUAUAAGCAAUCUGAUGGAAUUCUUGAUAACUUAACCUUUGCCUCUUUGGAAAAUAUUUUCCUUAUCUUUAAAUAUUUCUAAUAUUAUUUUCUAAAGAAAAAACAAACUAAAAACUCUUAAAUGUUACAGAUGCUGAUGAUCCAUUUGCUCUUUCAAGUAUUUAGAUAAGCUUUUUUUUUUUCCUGUAUUUCUUUAUUUAGUCAAACUUAAUGAUAACAGUAAAGCAAUCUAUGUAGCAUACAUAUAUAUAUAUAUAUAUAUAUAUAUUAAUUAGUUUUCAUUCUUUCUUUGACUAGUUUCAUAUUCUAAGGUUUUAUGGGAGGGAAUGUCCUUUUUUAUUAAUUAAUUCCGCUUAAUUAAACGAAUUCAUCAAAUUCUUUUUCCGUAGCUCUGACAACAUAUUUUGUUGGCGGUAGCACUUGUUAUUUAUACAAUAGUUGAUGAUUCUAAGAGUUUAUCAAUUGAUUAAUAUUUCAUUUGGGAUAAAAAAAAAUAAAUUUUGUUUUUAUGAAUUUGCUUCAUCUCUUAAAACAUCAGGCAUAAAUGACAAUAACCAUUAUUUCAAUUUGUUAUGUAGUGUUUAAUUGAAUUUUUUGCAGAGUUUACACGAGUUAUUCAUUGUCUAAUGAAAUCUCUUCAUUAAUUAUUAUUAUUAAUAAUAAUAUUAUUAUUAUUAUUGUAUGAAUCACUAUUUUCAUAUACAUUGUUAACUCAGCAUAAUUUUUCAUCAGCUUUGAGUGUCUUAAUUUGGAACUGUUUACCAUCUUGGGUAUGUCACUGUUUAACUACGAGAAUGUUGAGCCUUCAACUAAUUAUAAACUCGUUUAAAAUGCUUCAAGCCUAUUCUAUGCUUAUGGCUACUAAUUUCUCUCUGAAUGGAAAUUAAAAAAAACAUGUUUAUGUAUCUAAAAAUUCCAACUAUUUAAAAUAUUUAUGUAAAAGAAAUAUAUAGCAUUUUACUUCAAUUUCAAUUGAAAAGAAAUAGAUGAUUUGCACAAAAAAUUUCCCUGCAGCAACAUUACUUAUGGACUAUACGGAAUAUUAAAAGAAAAACAUUUUUUAACCAUUUGAUGUGGUAUGCUUUUUGAGAUUGUCCAUAACUCUUUUUGUCUAAAAGUAGGUGCUCUUAGAUAAAUACAGUUAUUUUUUAUAAUUAUUUGUGUUUAAUGUCAAGUUUCCAAUUUAGCUACAAAUAAUGAAUACAGAAAUGUAUUAUGCCAUUAUUUUUUGUUAUUGCGUUCUGUUCCAUAAUGUAGAUAAUUUAAAAUACCAACUCAACAAUCUAGCGAAACAGCCCAAUAUUAUAUGGAUAUAUAUAUUAAGUGCUGCCGUGUUAGUUGUGAAGCUUAAGAGGCCAUUGUUACAAGCAUAAUGUUAGUUGAUAUCUUUGCAGUUGUUGACCUUCAACUGUUUCAGAAUAUUCUAUAAUUGUCACUGAUUUGCUUCAGAAUUUUCUUAAUGCCAAAGAUAAAAUAAAGAUUGGCCAAUUAAAAGUUGGUGUUUAGUGGGAGUUAUAUUAUUCUUACUCUAAUCAAAGCAAAACUUCACUUAAGUUUUCUAUGAUUAUAAAAUAUUCAUUUUUUUUAUUCCUUUAUUAAUAAUUAUUUAUAUUCACUGUUGAUUUUUAAAAUUGAUGCAUAAUUGAGUUCAAUUAUCAAGUUGAAGAUAAUAAUUCAUUUUAAAUUGGACAGUAGAAAUCAAUAGGUCUCCUUCUGUUCAAUUGUUUAGUUUCUCUUGACAGUUUUACCAUCGAAGCUGAAUUAACUUUUUUUUUCAACUUGGAUGGUUGCUGCAGUCUCUAAAGUUUUUACAAAAGAUUGUAUUUACUUUGCAGACUAAACUCAAGUGUGAAAUUCUUAUCUAACAUAUGAGAAUUAAUGUAUGGCCUGAAAUAAUAACUGCUGAAUCCUGUUGUUGCUAUUUCACCAUAAAUUCCUUUGUAUAUAUAUAUGUAUACUACUGAGUUGAUAAAUUCAACUGUUUGCCAUACUUUAGUUCACCUACCAGUAAGAUAAUAGCAUUUGAAGGUAAUCAACUAUUUAAGGUAACACGAUAUUUUUGAGAAAUUUCAACUCAAUGCAAAUUUACUUGAAAAUUUAUUGUGCGGAUAACCUUCAGUGCUAUGUUUUACUGAAGCUGAAUGAAUUGUGGGUUUAGUCUUCUGGUUGACAAUGGAGUCAAUGUAUUGCUCAACAAAAAUCAAAAGAACUCUCUGAGGUUAGUUCAAAUAUAGUAUAUAUAUACAUACACACAAUUCUAUAAUAGUUUCAAAAGAAAUAAGGUUUUAUUGUAUGCAAAAAUGCACAUCUCUAAGGUUAAGUAUUUCUACAAUCCCACCCAACUCCAUGCUGUUGUAUCUGUUUAUGAUCUUUCUUGUAUUUUGCUCUCUUUGUAAAAAAAAAAAAUAAGCAAAAAAUAAAAACUUUGUCUGGAAAUAAAUAAAUUUUUUAUUUUAUUUUAUUUUACUUUAAACUUCCUAAUCACAAAAAAAAAAACAAACCCACCACCUUCUCUUGUCAAGAUCAUUUUCUCUUGAUAUAAGAUAGGAAGGAAUAUAGUUUUACAAGAUGCCCUUCUUACUACAUCCAACCUUCCUAUCAGGUAAUUUCUUCAAUGAUGUAAAGGUACAUAAAGACUGGUAACAAUUUCUGAUGUUACAAGGUUUUUUGGGGAGAGUCUUCUUUUUUUUUUUCUGUAAACCACUCUUUAUUCUAAAACUUCAAAUCAGGGAUAAAUUUGUUUAAUCAGUAUGGUAUUUUUAGUCAAUUACUUUUCUCUCUAGAUUAGAAAAAUAAAAAACUCGUACAUCACAGCUAUUUAUCUAUUCUCUGAUUUUCAUAGUGCUCUCACACCUUUAUACAAUCACUGUAGUAACACUGCUGGCUGGGUGGACAAAAAUGUCAAAAUAAUGUAAUGUGGGACAUCCAUUUUAGUUUUGAAUUUUAUACACAUUCAGCUGAAGGAACAAAACUGUAAUUUUAAAUAGUAUUUCAAUUUUAAGUGCCUUUUUCAUUAUUGUUUAUUCAAAAGUGCUGGAAUAAAAGAAAUGGCAGUAUUGUACUAAAUGCUUCUGAGCUUGACAUAACCUCUUAUCUAUGUAUACAGAUAAAUAUACUGAUAUUGAUUCUGACAAUUAUACCUCUGCAAUACAAAUAUGUGGCCUUUUUUAUAGUUUAUUCAGUGAACUUGCAUUGAAAAUUACCUAAACACUAAAUAUAUAUAUAUAUAUAAUACACACACAGUCAUCUUGAAAGAAAUAGACACCACCAUUUUUGAAAGAUACAUUUCUAGAAACAAAAUAUUUUAUGCAUUUUAAAUACUUAAUCUUGUAUUUAGUAGACAUUCCUUGUGCAGUUUUUAAUGGAUUAAUCCAUUUUGGGCAUCACAUUGAAUUCAGAAAUUGUUUUCUGUAGUUUCUAUCCAAACAGCACACAUCCAGUUGAACAAAUCUGCCUUUCAUAUUGGUUUUUGUGGGAGGUUUUCCCACUAUUCUGCCAAGUUGCCCCAAAAGUAUUCAAUGGAGUUCAUAUCAGGAGACUGGCUUGGCCUAAGAGUUCUUUUGAUUCUAUUUUUUUCUCUUGCCAGUUACUGGUCUUUUAAACUAUGUGGCAUGAAGUGCCAUCCUCCAUAAAUAAAGUGUCAUUUUUUUACCAACUGACCAUUGAA
Molecule: long non-coding RNA, 4104 nt
Filed under: Octopus sinensis (East Asian common octopus)
Lineage: Eukaryota; Metazoa; Mollusca; Cephalopoda; Octopoda; Octopodidae
Description: uncharacterized LOC118760968
Source: RNAcentral